RNAcentral lists this ribosomal RNA (651 nucleotides) under Bacillus sp. (in: firmicutes). Its description in RNAcentral is "bacterial SSU rRNA". It matches the Rfam family "Bacterial small subunit ribosomal RNA", at positions 82 to 718 of the family's 1533-position model. Lineage: Bacteria; Bacillati; Bacillota; Bacilli; Caryophanales; Bacillaceae. The record is from RNAcentral.
CUCCCUGAUGUUAGCGGCGGACGGGUGAGUAACACGUGGGUAACCUGCCUGUAAGACUGGGAUAACUCCGGGAAACCGGGGCUAAUACCGGAUGGUUGUUUGAACCGCAUGGUUCAAACAUAAAAGGUGGCUUCGGCUACCACUUACAGAUGGACCCGCGGCGCAUUAGCUAGUUGGUGAGGUAACGGCUCACCAAGGCAACGAUGCGUAGCCGACCUGAGAGGGUGAUCGGCCACACUGGGACUGAGACACGGCCCAGACUCCUACGGGAGGCAGCAGUAGGGAAUCUUCCGCAAUGGACGAAAGUCUGACGGAGCAACGCCGCGUGAGUGAUGAAGGUUUUCGGAUCGUAAAGCUCUGUUGUUAGGGAAGAACAAGUACCGUUCGAAUAGGGCGGUACCUUGACGGUACCUAACCAGAAAGCCACGGCUAACUACGUGCCAGCAGCCGCGGUAAUACGUAGGUGGCAAGCGUUGUCCGGAAUUAUUGGGCGUAAAGGGCUCGCAGGCGGUUUCUUAAGUCUGAUGUGAAAGCCCCCGGCUCAACCGGGGAGGGUCAUUGGAAACUGGGGAACUUGAGUGCAGAAGAGGAGAGUGGAAUUCCACGUGUAGCGGUGAAAUGCGUAGAGAUGUGGAGGAACACCAGUGGCGA